UUUUUAUCGGGAGCAGUGCCUUCCAUAAUAA
Molecule: non-coding RNA, 31 nt
Organism: Labeotropheus fuelleborni (blue mbuna)
Lineage: Eukaryota; Metazoa; Chordata; Actinopteri; Cichliformes; Cichlidae
Source: Rfam